This 465-nucleotide ribosomal RNA is filed under the name Vreelandella stevensii. RNAcentral describes it as "partial 16S ribosomal RNA". It matches the Rfam family "Bacterial small subunit ribosomal RNA", at positions 338 to 795 of the family's 1533-position model. Lineage: Bacteria; Pseudomonadati; Pseudomonadota; Gammaproteobacteria; Oceanospirillales; Halomonadaceae. The record is from RNAcentral.
CCUACGGGCGGCAGCAGUGGGGAAUAUUGGACAAGGGGGGGAACCCUGAUCCAGCCAUGCCGCGUGUGUGAAGAAGGCCCUCGGGUUGUAAAGCACUUUCAGUGGGGAAGAACGCCUGGUGGUUAAUACCCAUCAGGAAAGACAUCACUCACAGAAGAAGCACCGGCUAACUCCGUGCCAGCAGCCGCGGUAAUACGGAGGGUGCGAGCGUUAAUCGGAAUUACUGGGCGUAAAGCGCGCGUAGGUGGCUUGAUAAGCCGGUUGUGAAAGCCCCGGGCUCAACCUGGGAACGGCAUCCGGAACUGUCAAGCUAGAGUGCAGGAGAGGAAGGUAGAAUUCCCGGUGUAGCGGUGAAAUGAGUAGAGAUCGGGAGGAAUAACAGUGGCGAAGGAGGCCUUCUGGACUGACACUGACACUGAGGUGCGAAAGCGUGGGUAGCAAACAGGAUUAGAUACCAGAGUAGUC